CACGAAGCGUUUGGUCGCACUAUCCCCAAAUCUCGCUUCAUCGUCUUUAUCGGUUCAUCUUCAAGCCAUCACUCCGCCAUGGAUCACACUCCAAGCCUUCCACCGUCAGCCUCCAUGGCUCCACACUCUCCUCUUUGCCCUUCCCGCCAUUCUUCCACCAGUCGGCAAGGUCGUACAAAUGGAGGUAGCCGGACUGCGGGAGUGCGGGAUGGGAGAUGCCUCAUACAGUAGUGGCAGCUCAAAUUCCGACAGGCGAGCACCGGAUCACGGAAGGUCGGACUCCGGCAGGCUGGCGGAGUUCAGUAUUAUCUAGUGUGACACUGCGAUUGCCUGGUAAGCAUCAAAUCCCCAUGAACUCCUACAUGUUUUAGGGUCAGUGCCCAUUGAUCGGGGUCGCGAUCCGGCAAUCAAUCCAGCUCGACCCGCCGUCGUCCUGACCCUCGAUCAGGGUCGAUCAACCGCGGGACGGGGAUCACGCCAUCGACCCGCGAACCAGGCUACUAUGGUUUAGAGCAUCGAAAUGACAUUUGUUUACCAUGUGGCAUGGCGCUUGCUCUAGCAAGCGCUAGAAAAUAAGGCGCGACGAUAUAGCUCCAGCAGCCGCUGCAAAAUGCUGCACACGUGAGCAGCCAAACGCCUUGACUUUCGACGUCAUGGUCUUCUUUUUUCGGGACGCCGUCUCCGACGUCGUUGCAGCCGCAUUCGAUCGCUUGGAGAUGGGGGCCCGUGGCGCCAUGAAUAGGCCGCGCGUGAGGCCGUUGAUUGGAGGAGGGAUGCCGGUGGCGAAGCCGUACUCAACCCUGCGCUAGGUUUUGCGGCGGUGGCGGAGGAGUUGCGGGUGUAGGGAGGGGUUGGGGGAUGUCGGGGGCGCCUUCAUCGGUAGAAUUUCAUCGGCGACGACAUGGGGCAGGGCGAAGGCGGGGCGGCCGGAGAGGUUCGGGCGGCAAUUGGUCUCGUGUGCACGAUUUUUGUUGUCCAACAUGAGGAAACGGGCGCCCGAAAUUACCAGCGUGCGAUGCCGUUUUGCUCCGCGCGCACAACCAACUAUACCGCGCGGGCGAUUUUAGCGCGUGUGCUUGAGUGCCAGUCUAAGCUCCGCGCAUGCAAAAAACAUGUUAUUUUGUAGCGCGCGGCUAACAUAGCGCGCUUGUUGGAGAUGCUCUUGGUCGUAGAGUGAGUGCCCCUUCAUCAUGUGCUUGUAGAAUCCCGUCGUUGUCGGGCCCAUCAUCGGGGGAUACCGGCUAGAGCAUCGACUAACACUCCACCUUGGCACUGAGCUUGUAGUAGCAAAUUUCGUCGAUUCGAGCAUCACGGGUCAGAAGUUCCAGCAUAUGGUAUUUCCAUCCGUAAGACCACGUUGUCACAAUAGCCGCACCGGCUAGCCCUCCACCCCAAGCUUGUAGCAGCUAACAUCACCGGUUCCAGCACCAGAGGUCACCGGUUUCCAGCACCUGGAAUUGUCGGCAGAAGCACCAUGUCAUCGUAGUCGUCGCACUAGAUAUUCUUCCACCCCGAGCUUGUAGCAUCAAUGUGGGGUCACUGGUUCUACCAUAUGGAAUCGCCGGUCGCAACACCAUAUCACCGCACUGGCCGUCCCUCCACCCCGAGCUUGUAGCAUCCAACAUCGCCGGUUCCAGCAUCGGGGUCAUCGGUUCCGUCAUGUGGGAUUGUGUAACGCCCAAGAUGCGACCCUAUCCUUAUUUUGGCGUGAGGGCUUCGACAUGGAUAGAAGCACAUCUCGUCAUUUCGCAAGAAUGGAUAUCAUUACAAGUACAUGUACUGAAAAGAUGAGUAUAUGGAAUUGGCUUACACUCGUCACAAGCUACAUCAGAGUCACAUCAAUACACCAAUAUACAAUCAUCAUGAAGAAGAGAAGGGUCCGAUUACGGACGAAAACAAAUGAUAAAAGAACGACGUCCAUCCUUGCUAUCCCAGGCUGCGGGCCUAGAACCCAUCCUAGAUCGAUGAAGAAGAAGAAACUCCAAAUAGCACAAUCAGCGCGCUCACGUCAAAGUAUCGCUUUACCUGUAUCUGCAACUGGUGUUGUAGUAAUUUUUGAGCCACAUGGGACUCAGCAAACUCAUUUCCAAAGGUAUCAAGACUAGCAAAGCUUAAUUGGUGAGUUAUGGUUGAGUGGUGAGGCUGCAACAAGCGACUAAGCAUUUAUUUGAGGUGGCUAACUUAUGAGUACAAGAAUAAAAGAUGGGGAUGAUCUACGCAUAGCGGAUCUAAACUACUGACGGUCAAAUGAAUGAUCCUGAAUACCUACUUACAUCAGACAUAACCCCACCGUGUCCUCAAUCGGAGAAGGAGCUCACGAAAGAGACAUUCAUGGUUACGCAUUCUGUUGGUAAGUUUUGAGUUAACUUUACUUCAAAUUAUCUAGAACCGGAUGUUAAACAAAGUUUCCAAGUUGCCACAUAACCGCGGGCACGACUUCCUAAAAGAUUUAACCCUGCAGGGGUGCUCCAACUAGUCCAUCACAAAUUACCACAAGCCGCAUAGAAAACCUCAAUCACGAAACUCGUGAUCUUCUCGGAUUCCUUAGUGGAAAACCUCAACUCUGAGAUAACCCAAAGCUUCACCGGAAUCCCGAUGCACAAGAUAUUUCGUAAAAGGUAAAACUAAUCCAGCAAGGCCACCCUUCAUGCCAACAGACCCGAUAGGAGCCGCGUAUCUCAUUCUCAGGGCACAACCGUAUGGGCAGGACGUCGAGUUGGCUGAAACCCCGGGUGACCAGGGGCGCCGGACAUCGCCCGGUUUGGACCAACACUCAUGCGGAGCACUGGCCCGGGGGUUGAUUAAAUUUCCUUGGAUUAAUUACUCCCUAUGUGGUUCAUUAGUUAUUAUGCAAAUGUAGUACCAAAGUUGGGCCUUGACAGACCAACUUUAAUCUAAACAGAUUUAUCAAGGGGGUCCCCAUAACAACCGUGAUCAUGUUAGGAGCUCUCAAUUAUGGAAUAUAACACCGGUAGCCAAAACUAAGAUGGCAAGGAUGGAACAAAUCACCACGCUAGAAAGCCGAGCCUUCCACCUUUUACCAAGUAUAUAUGUGCAUUAAUUUAAAUAGCAAUUCGUAAUGCCCCAAGUGUAACAUUGCCAUAUUUGGAACCUUGCCAUGUUUGGAUCCUUGAUGUCAUUCUAUGGAGUUAUCAUUUCAUGUGUUAUUUCAUGUGGUCAUGCCUUGUCUUCCCUUUGCAUUCAUGCAUCCACAUCAUCCAACCAUUCUUCUGUUGUUGUGGUGUUGAUCCUUAUGUGUGAUUGUGAUAAGUGCAUGUGGUGUGUGAAGUGGUAGUUGCAAGCUUGGGUUCCAACUUGCUUAUUUAGCCAAAAGCUAACUUUCAACUAAACCUCUUCUUCUUCAUUUUCUUAAGUUCAAGUUUUACUUGCUCUAUACAUGUUUGUAAAAUGUAGAUCAUUUAGAGUAUUUUCUCGUGGAUGUGGUGCUAUGUCUAGGGAUUUUAAAACUUUGCUUAAGUGGGGCUUCUAUUCACAAAACAGAUUACAAUAAUUCUGUUUUGUAAAUAUUUCUUUGCUAAAAAUCCUCUUUUCAUAUUAUUCUAAUAGGUCAUAAUUUCCUUAUGACCAGGGGCAUUUUUUUUGCAAGCCUAGAUUUUCCUAGGAGUUUAUUCUUGCUAUGAUUUGUUUUAAUGGAAAAACCCAGAGGGUUUUUCUUCUCUCUAUUUGGCACCACCAGAGUGGGCCUUCUCCCCUCGCUGGCCCAACAAUGCUUUUCCCUCGCGCGGUAGCCCACUCCCCCGUCCCUCUCCUAUUGACGUCGUCUCCUUCCUCCUCCUGCUUUCCGUCUGGGAAACAGAGUGAGAGGAGAGAGAGAGAGGUCGACGCCGUGGCUUCACGGAUGUCGAGGCGGCCCCCUCGCCCCCUAUAUAUUCCCUCGGCAUGCGUGCCUUCCCUAGGGUUCCCUCCUCACCGCCGCCCCCUCUCCUUCAUCCCCUGCGAUCAGAUCUGAGCGAGAGAGAGUGCAGGUAAGUGCUGCUUCAGUCGUUAGAGAGAUCGUCGCCGGCCUCCCUUCUCGUCGCCGGCAGCGUCUCUGUGGCGGCCAAGGCGCGCUCGGGCAUGGAGCUCCUACCUCCUUUCCGUUCCGGGCGUUAGCAGAGGGGAUCCUCCUCUCUGGCACGCCCUCCGUGGCGGCUCCGUCAAGCCGGUGCGGAUCGUCGUGUCGCCCCGCCUCUUCUUCCCGCUACAUCAUCGUCGGCGCUUCCCCGACGUCUCCUGGGUGAGCAACCACCUUCUCCUUCCCGAUUCCCUGCGCAUAGAUCCCUCCUGGAGCCGUAGCAGCACCGUCGUCGUGCUCCUAUGUUGUCGCCGCCGUAGUGGUGUCGUGUUGUUGGUGUGGUGCUCCUCCCGGUGAGCUGGGGCCAGGAAUGGGUUCCUCUCGAACCCCUCUUCCUCCCCGCGAGUGGCCGCAGCUCAAUUUGGGCCGUAGCAUCGCCGGCCAUCUUCCCCUAUUCCGACCGCCGUGUUCUGUAGAAGUAUCAAACGGAGCUACCUAAGAGGGUUACCUCCCCCUCUCUAGUAAGCGUCGAUCGAAUAACAGAGUGGUAGUAGUGUGUUUCGCGGCGCAGUUGGUCGCGGGUUCGAGUCCCAGUGGAGCCUCCCCUUUUUAUUGUUGUGUUUUGUGAUCAGUAGCUCGAUAGGGAAACAUUUCCUGUUUCCCUUCCCCUCUCUGUCGAGCCCAAGGGCAGUAGUGUAGUGGUAGUGUAGGUGUGCUGUGGUUUAGCAGGACUUGGGUUCGAUCCCAAGCCCCCCCUUUUAUUUUUUACUUCUUCUUUUGCUGUUUGAAGUAGUGUAAGCUUGUUGCAUUGCUUGGGCAGCAAAUUAUUUGUGCCUAAGAACACAACUAGUAGGUUUCUUCUUUAUUGUUAGCUUUGUGUGCAUGUGUAGGUGAGUGUGCACAUGUGUUGAUGUAUGAGGAGGAGUUUGUUGUGUGNNNNNNNNNNNNNNNNNNNNNNNNNNNNNNNNNNNNNNNNNNNNNNNNNNNNNNNNNNNNNNNNNNNNNNGUGUGGUGGUGUGCUUAGGCACAAGUGCAUGAGAGCUACCCCUCAUGUUAACCAUUGGUGUUGUGAGGGUGAGCAUGUGCAAGUGUAGGUGUUGAGAUAAUGAACUUCACAUGUGAUAAUGCACUAUUUGGGCUUAUGUGAUUCUAGCUUGAUUUUUCAUUUUAACUUUAUGCCCACAUGUUAUAUGCAAACACCGAUGUAUUAUAUAUGGAUUUGGUGUAGAAUCAUCCCAGGAAUCCACUCGUGGAAUCAUAUUUCACUUUAGAGCAACUUCAUAAACUGUCAUUUUUCUGUCUUGAUGCUAUGUUUAGAGCUUGGUGCCAUGUGGUGUGUUGAGCCUACGAGGAUGAUUCCUUGAUGUGGCAAUAGUGGGUGAACCCCUCUACAUCAUGGUAGUUUUGUUUUUCUCAUAGGAGUUUGUAUGUGCUAGUUGUGCCUUGUCAAAGUUGACAUGUGGCUGAAAUUAUCAGCUUGGUGAAAUCUGUGAUUUUUACUAAGUUUGAGAAACUGCUGUUAUCUUCUUCCCUUGUUGUUGUGGUUGCAAAAGCUCAUGUGUUGGGAAUCAGCCCAUGCAAUCAACUAGAGAGUUGGAGCUUUUGUGUUUGUCUAGCUCUCUGUUAAAUUUCAUGUAUUUUCACUUCUUUUAGAUAUCAUUUUGGAGGCUGUCAAAAUGCUUCAGAGCAUAAGUAGCUCGUGAAAAUCUGAGAUUUUCACUAAGUCCCAGAAAUGUGCUAUUUUUGUCCAAGUUAGUGCGUGUAGAACUUCUUGUGUGUGGCUCCUUUGCAUUAUCUUCUUGCUCAGGCUUGUAGAGCUUUUGAAUGGCUUUUGCCCCAUAUCUUGGUUGGCACAUUUGGGUGGUUGUAGGUACUUUGCAUGUUGCUCACAAACUGCUAUGAUGGUGUUUAGGACAGAUUGCAUAGUUUUGUUGUUUUGAAGCUUGUGAGUGCAUAGUUGAUGGUGUGGUGUGAUUCCAAGCACCACCCCACUUCUAGUUGUUUGUUUGAUCAUGUGGAAACCUGGGAAUACCAGAAGAUUGCCAUUGGAGUGUGCUUGUGGUGGAAUUUAUCCGUAGCACUCCAUAUCUUGUUUCGUAGUUUCCGGUUGAUCCGUAGCUCCGUUCUCUACGUUCUUUAUAUGUUUUUUGCAUCAUUUUCUCGUGAUGCACCUGUUCAUGUCAUACUCAUGCAUGUCAAGAUAGCUUAGUGUGAAGUUUUGUACAGAAGUUAUCUUCUCUUCUCAUGCAUAUGCAAGUGACUAGAAUAGUGAUGCAUGUUUCACUCUCAUCUCAUGCAUCAUGUUGUUAUUGCAUCAUGUUGUGUUGGUGUCUAUUGGCUGUUAUUUUUUAUCUUGGGUAGCACCGGGAUCGGAGAGCUAGUUCGUGGAUUCUGGAGAGUACGUGCAGGACGAACAAGAGCAGUUUCAAGCUGAAGACUGUUGGGGAACGUCGCAUGGGAAACAAAAAAUUUCCUACGCGCACGAAGACCUAUCAUGGUGAUGUCCAUCUCCGAGAGGGGAUAUUCGAUCUACAUACCCUUGUAGAUCGCACAGCAGAAGCGUUAGUGAACGCGGUUGAUGUAGUGGAACGUCCUCACGUCCCUCGAUCCGCCCCGCGAACCGUCCCGCGAUCAGUCCCACGAUCUAGUGCCGAACGGACGGCACCUCCGCGUUCAGCACACGUACAGCUCGACGAUGAUCUCGGCCUUCUUGAUCCAGCAAGAGAGACGGAGAGGUAGAUGAAUUCUCUGGCAGCGUGACGACGCUCCGAAGGUUGGUGGUGAUCUUAUCUCAGCAGGGCUCCACCCGAGCUCCGCAGAAACGCGAUCUAGAGGUAAAACCGUGGAGAUAUGUGGUCGGGCUGCUGUGGCAAAGUUGUCUCAAAUCAGCCCUAAAACCUCCGUAUACAUAGUUGUCUCAAGGAGCCCCAAGGGGGUCGGCCGAGCCAAGGGAGGCAACCCUCCCCUUUCAAACCGAGUCCAACUAGGUUUGGAAGGAGGAGUCCUUCCCCCUUUUUCACCCCCUCUCUUUUUUUCUUUCUUUUCNCUCUUUGAUUUUCUUCCUAUGGCGCAUAGGGCCUUCUUGGGCUGUCCCACCAGCCCACUAAGGGAUGAUACACCACCCCCAAGGCCUAUGGGCUUCCCCGGGGUGGGUUGCCCCCCCCGGUGAACACCCGGAACCCAUUCGUCAUUCCCGGUACAUUCCCGGUAACUCCGAAAACCUUCCGGUAAUCAAAUAAGAUCAUCCUAUAUAUCAAUCUUCGUUUCCGGACCAUUCCGGAAACUCUCGUGACGUCCGUGUUCUCAUCCGGGACUCCGAACAACAUUCAGUAACCAACCGUAUAACUCAAAUACGCAUAAAACAACGUCGAACCUUAAGUGUGCAGACCCUGCGGGUUCGAGAACUAUGUAGACAUGACCCGAGUGACUCCUCGGUCAAUAUCCAAUAGCGGGACCUGGAUGCCCAUAUUGGAUCCUACACAUUCUACGAAGAUCUUAUCGUUUGAACCUCAGUGCCAAGGAUUCAUAUAAUCCCGUAUGUCAUUCCCUUUGUCCUUCGAUAUGUUACUUGCCCGAGAUUCGAUCGUCAGUAUCCGCAUACCUAUUUCAAUCUCGUUUACCGGCAAGUCUCUUUACUCAUUCCGUAAUACAAGAUCCCGCAACUUACACUAAGUCACAUUGCUUGCAAGGCUUGUGUGUGAUGUUGUAUUACCGAGUGGGCCCCGAGAUACCUCUCCGUCACACGGAGUGACAAAUCCCAGUCUCGAUCCUUACUAACUCAACGAACACCUUCGGAGAUACCUGUAGAGCAUCUUUAUAGUCACCCAGUUACGUUGCGACAUUUGAUACACACAAAGCAUUCCUCCGGUGUCACUGAGUUAUAUGAUCUCAUGGUCAUAGGAACAAAUACUUGACACGCAGAAAACAGUAGCAACAAAAUGACACGAUCAACAUGCUACGUCUAUUAGUUUGGGUCUAGUCCAUCACGUGAUUCUCCUAAUGACGUGAUCCAGUUAUCAAGCAACAACACCUUGUUCAUAAUCAGAAGACCCUGACUAUCUUUGAUCAACUGGCUAGCCAACUAGAGGCUUGCUAGGGACAGUGUUUUGUCUAUGUAUUCACACAUGUAUAUAAGUAUUCAUUCAAUACAAUUAUAGCAUGGAUAAUAAACGAUUAUCAUGAACUAAGAAAUAUAAUAAUAACUAAUUUAUUAUUGCCUCUAGGGCAUAUUUCCAACAAAGACAUCACAUGCAAGAUGACCGUGACCUUGAUACCGUAUCUAGCUUUGUUAUGCUUAGAAUCUCGUUUCCUUCGAUAUAUGCUCGCUGCCUACCACUUGAUAUAAUUGCCUCCUGAUAUUGCCAUGAAACCCAAACACCCUCCCCUCCUAGCUAAUGUUGUUUGGCUAAGUAGGCUUGCUCAGCUUCUAAUGAUAGCUUUGCUAGUUGCAGGUGCCAGCUGUCUCAUGUGAUAACAAGAGUAAUUUUGAUAUCAUUAUGAUUAAACUGUUAUUUAAGUAAUGCAUCUAUAUACUUGGUAAAUGACCGAAGGCCUAGCCUUUUUCGGGUGAUUUGUUCCGUUAUUGCCACAUUAGUUUUCGGCUACCGGUGUUUGAUCCCAUAACUGAUCGCUCCUAACACGUUCGGGGUUGUUAUGGGGACCCCCUUGAUAAAUCGUGUAGUGUUAAGACUUGUCCGGCAGGACCCAACAUUGGUUUUAAUUUGCUAACCACCUAAUAAUAAUUUGCAUAGGGAAUAGCUACCCCGAGGAAUUAAUCAACAACCCGGGCUAGUGCUCCUCAUGAGUGUUGGUCCAAACUAGAGCACUGUGCGGGGCCAACUCAGGGCAACUUGAGAGAUUUCUACCAGGCUACUGUACGCGUCGCUCAUCCGUCGUGUCCUGAGACUAAGAUACGCGGCUCUUAUCGGGGUCGUCGACACGACGGGAGGUCCUGCUAGUCUUGUCUUACCUUAGCGAUAUAUCUUGUGUAUAGGAAUCCCGGUGAAACUUUGGUUCUCCCCAGAGUUGAGGUUUUCCUCUAAAGAAUCCGACGAGAUCACGAGAUUCUUGAUACAGGAUUACUUUGCGGCCUGUGACCGUUUGUGAUGGACUAGUUGGAGCACCCCUGGAGGGUUUAAUCUUUCGGAAAGCCGUGCCCAUGGUUAUGUGGCAACAUGGAUAAUUUCUAAACAUCCGGUUAUAGAUAACUUGAACUAACUCUAAUAAAACUGCCAACUGUGUGCGUAACCGUGACUGUCCCCUUCGAAGACCUCUCUUCAAUCGGGAACACGGUGGAGUUAUGUUUGACGUAAGUAGGUGUUCAGGAUCCCUUAGGGAUCACCUAGUAUUCGUCCGUUCGCGUAAACCUCCAUACCUAAAACUCUGAUGUUCGUAAGUUAGCCACCAUAAAUGCUUAGGAUGCUGCAACCUAAACAUUGAACCUUCCUCGCCUAAUAACUUAACUAGUUUCGGUACAAAGGUCAUCGAUUGCUGAGUCCCCGUGGCUCACAGUUUACUACAACACCCCAACAGGUACAGGUACGCCCGACGCAGGUGAUCCAGAUGGCACGCAGCUGGCGUGGCAGUACGAUGAGGAGAACGACCACCUGUACGCGAACUAUCCAGAAGACUGAGGCCGUGGUCGUGAUCGUGGGCGAGCAUGCGGGAUAUCAUAGUCUUUUCCUUGUGUUAUGUAGUCCGUAGCAGAACUACCUUCUCUGAAUAAAUGUGUGGAUGUAACUCUGAUAUUAUCUAUGUGAGAUGACAAAUGAAUGCCCUAUUUAUCAAUCUUAAAUUAUGUAUGUGAUAUGUUUAUCUCGCUUGCGAAACGCUUAGAUGCACUUCUUUCCCUUUUUGGGGCAUUGCCGCCUAAAUAGGAAAGGACCGCAUCUUAGUCGUUACAAGUUGGUAAUCAGAGCCUUACGACCUUAGGAGCCUUUGUGUGAUCGUACUUGGCCGAGUCGAGUCUAGUAAAAUGUUUUGAGUCUUAGUUAUAUCGGAGAGUAGGUUUGUUUUUUCUCCUCUUCCAUGCUCUGGUGAGGUUCUCGACUUAGGAAAUCUUAAUUCUACUCCUCUUCUUGCUCAAAUUUUGUUAGGAUCACGCGGGUAUUUUGAAAUCUAUAUGAUAUCGAUGUGACGGAGUUCUGUCUUGGUGCCUCCUGUCUGCCUUGAUUUCUUCCGGAGAGUUGAGCUCCAGGGGAUUCUCGUGCACAUCGCCAUCAUUCAGAUUUCUGAGUAUCUCAGAACGAAGGAUGUUCGUAAUUGCUUCAAUACUAGUGGUGGCGAGAUAACCCUGAUGUCCCUAAUACUGGUGCAGAUUGUUCGGGAGUACUGCCAUACUUUGUAUCAUUGUGAUCACGAGGGUCUGUAGUAGAUGAAGGUUCGAGAUUCUGGUUAUGUGUUGACGGAUGUGAUACACAGGACGGGUUAGUAUAGGAGUUGUGUGAAUAUUACUCCUUGUAUCCGUGUACCAGACUGCAUGACCAGAUAUUUCGGGAAUUUAUAGGUGGGAUUUCAAGUAGUGACUUAUAGGACAAUAUUCCUACAGAUGCAUGAUGUGAGGUUGGGAUUCGACAUUCAGUGGGUACGUUUGUUCAUGGUCGUCUUACAGCGGUUCUCGUUGUGUCUUAAAGAGUCCUUGUAGCUUCUACGACUCGGGGAUGCUUUGUAAGUCGUGUGCACUACCUUGCACAGGAUGGCUACUGUAAUUUCGAGCCCGUGCGAUCAUAUCCACGAAGAUAUCGGAUGAAAUCUCGAUCAUAUGUUUGUUUCGAGCAGUUCUAGCUCAUACUUAGUUUGCAAGUGGUCUUAAUCAGAAUUUUGUCGACAGUCACUUUGAGGAAGCAUUCUUACUAUUUUGGUCGAGUGCAAUUGCUAUGUUCCUGUUCAGAUAUUCCUGCCUUUUUGAUUCAGCUUUAGCUUCAAUAUUAUUCUGUGGGCUAAUGUGUUGUCCUUCUUCAGGAUGGCUCCACCAACUCAUCAGAAUCCAGGUCGUGAG
This 11012-nucleotide long non-coding RNA is filed under the name Hordeum vulgare. RNAcentral's name for it is "long non-coding RNA (HVUL_LNC004893)". Lineage: Eukaryota; Viridiplantae; Streptophyta; Magnoliopsida; Poales; Poaceae. The record is from RNAcentral.